Molecule: ribosomal RNA, 977 nt
Filed under: Acinetobacter johnsonii
Lineage: Bacteria; Pseudomonadati; Pseudomonadota; Gammaproteobacteria; Moraxellales; Moraxellaceae
Description: bacterial SSU rRNA
Rfam family: Bacterial small subunit ribosomal RNA
Source: RNAcentral
CACGCCGCGUGAGUGAUGAAGGCUUUCGUGGUCGUAAAGCUCUGUUGUCUAAGGAAGAACCAUACGCUAGAUUAAUACUCUUGGCUCCUGGACGUUACUCACACAAAAAGCCCCGGCUAACUCUGUGCCAGCAGCCGCGGUAAUACAGAGGUGGCGAGCGUUAUCCGGAUUUACUGGGCGUAAAGCGUGCGCAGGCGGCUUUUUAAGUCGGAUGUGAAAUCCCUGAGCUUAACUUAGGAAUUGCAUUCGAUACUGGGAAGCUAGAGUAUGGGAGAGGAUGGUAGAAUUCCAGGUGUAGCGGUGAAAUGCGUAGAGAUCUGGAGGAAUACCGAUGGCGAAGGCAGCCAUCUGGCCUAAUACUGACGCUGAGGUACGAAAGCAUGGGGAGCAAACAGGAUUAGAUACCCUGGUAGUCCAUGCCGUAAACGAUGUCUACUAGCCGUUGGGGCCUUUGAGGCUUUAGUGGCGCAGCUAACGCGAUAAGUAGACCGCCUGGGGAGUACGGUCGCAAGACUAAAACUCAAAUGAAUUGACGGGGGCCCGCACAAGCGGUGGAGCAUGUGGUUUAAUUCGAUGCAACGCGAAGAACCUUACCUGGUCUUGACAUAGUAAGAACUUUCCAGAGAUGGAUUGGUGCCUUCGGGAACUUACAUACAGGUGCUGCAUGGCUGUCGUCAGCUCGUGUCGUGAGAUGUUGGGUUAAGUCCCGCAACGAGCGCAACCCUUUUCCUUAUUUGCCAGCGGGUUAAGCCGGGAACUUUAAGGAUACUGCCAGUGACAAACUGGAAGAAGGCGGGGACGACGUCAAGUCAUCAUGGCCCUUACGACCAGGGCUACACACGUGCUACAAUGGUCGGUACAAAGGGUUGCUACCUACCGAUAGGAUGCUAAUCUCAAAAAGCCGAUCGUAUCCCGGAUUGGAGUCUGCAACUCCACCUCCAUGAAGUCAGAUUCCUAAUAUCGCGGAUCAAAAUGCC